CGUAGGUAACCUGCCCAUGUGUCCGGGAUAACUGCUGGAAACGGUAGCUAAAACCGGAUAGGUAUACAGAGCGCAUGCUCAGUACAUUAAAGCGCCCAUCAAGGCGUGAACAUGGAUGGACCUGCGGCGCAUUAGCUAGUUGGUGAGGUAACGGCUCACCAAGGCGAUGAUGCGUAGCCGGCCUGAGAGGGUAAACGGCCACAUUGGGACUGAGACACGGCCCAA
RNAcentral lists this ribosomal RNA (225 nucleotides) under uncultured bacterium. Its description in RNAcentral is "partial 16S ribosomal RNA". It matches the Rfam family "Bacterial small subunit ribosomal RNA", at positions 116 to 334 of the family's 1533-position model. The record is from RNAcentral.